AUGCCUCCUCCUUCUGCUAUUCCUUUUCCUCCUCCUACUCCCAUAGCUUGCUUCAAUUGCAAUUACAGACCUAAAGACUGCACCUCUACCUGGUGGUCAUCAUCUCACCUCAUGCUGUCAGAACCAGUUGUUCAAUUUGUUUUACUGUAAGCAAAGCAACAAAUCUUCCCGAACGCGUGCCCACGAUUUCCGAUGGUAGUCGCACCACCCUGUCCCUUGUACGAAUCGCCCUCUGGAUAUCUGUUUCCCCUGGACUUCGGGGUAUGUGUAAUUGCUUAUUGCAACCUGGAACCCUAAAAAGUUCCUACAUUCAUGGUACUUUCUUCACAGAGCUGACGCUAUCAAGGUACUUCUACCUCCCAAAGCCAGUUGUUAAUUAUGCUUUACAUGUUGUAUUGCUUAUAAAUUGAACCAUUGGGUGUCAAGAUAUCUAUCGAUUUGUUGUUCAUUCAGUUCCCCUUAUUUCUGCUGCACUGUUCAGUUAAUCCUAAUGAACUGCUUCUUGGUAUUUUGGGUUUUGAGAUCCUGGUGAAUUCUCAAGGGUUGAGAGAGUUGUCAAAACAGUGUGACUUCUGUUGAUUUGCAAAUAACUCUUGAGAUGGAGAAGAACUUAGAAGCAUGCUUGUGGUAGAUUGAAUCGAUCGCUAGAUGUGUGUUUGCAUGAGCAAAGAACAAUUUAGCCUUCUUUGGUCCAUCAUUUUCUUCCGCAUGAGCAUCCUGCCAACACAAUUUUCGAAGGUGGUGAGGAAAUGGAGGACCCUUGAACAGUUAUGUGAAAAGGGACACUAGAACAAUGCCUACAUGUUGUUGAAGGAGAUGGUUGAAGAAAACUGCCUAAACCAGAUCUGCAAGUUUAUGAAAUGAUUCUAGAGCUGCCGAGGAAGACUGGACAGCUAAAAAUGGAUGAGGAGUUGGUGGGGAAGAUGGGUUGCCAUGAGAUUUUUCUCUCGCCCUUUGUAGAAGCAACUUCAUCAUUAACAUCUAUAAGCCAAAUAAGAGAACUUUCAAGGAAGACUCUAAAAUGGUGGUAUUAUUUGCUAAUUGCUUGUUUCCACAUCAGGAGGUGGUAAAUGCUAUUGAAUGCAACAAUGGAAAGUAUGACUGAGCUGCCUAUAUGUUCCUCCCUUUAUGUAACUGGAGAAGUUAGUAUUCAGCUUAUAUGAUAGUCAAAAGAGUUUUGACGCGGAACAGAUUCAUGGAGUUAUGGUCCUGGAGCUGCAUCCUUAUCCAAGUCACAUCCAUAGCCAGAACCUGAACUUUCUGCAGAUGGAUUAGAAGAUCGUUGCUGAUUUCUGAGUUCUUAUGCAUAUAGCUGAAAAAGUGGACUCACUAAAUAAUCAUUCUCCACUUCAACAGAUCUUGAAAGAUGAGAAGGGGACAUUAUCAUAUGUUGAUGUUGAUUACAGCUUUUGGAUAAAUGAGACACAUGUCAAGCCGUUUCACGAAAUUGAAAACGCAGACCCAUUGCGUCUUUCAUUCUUCCUAUUCAUUAUGCACAAAUAGUCUCCGCUCUGCACAACAAAAAAUUACAAUUCCUUCCUGACGCAUCCGCUCUGCAGAACCUUCUUCCUCUUUUCGUGGUUCUGAUCCUUCCUUCUCAGAAAGACUCCUGUGGCUGCGACAUGAAUCACCAUCUUCCAUCCCGUAGGCUCCGUUUCUCACAGACAAGGGAUUUUUUGGAGGGUUCGAAUCAGACUACGGAAGGUGGUCUGCUCCGUUUGGAAGAUGGCUGAGGUUUGGCACCGGACAUUGUUCCUUAAAUGGUGGCUGCUGGCUGGGUGCUCAUACUCGAUUUGGGUUUUCCUGCAAAUUUUCAGAUUUGGUGCACCUAUGCUCUGGGAUUUUGGGGUUCCAGUUUGUGCAUUGGUGUCGUUCUUCUAGGUUGUUCUUGAUUGUGAUGAGGCUAGAAGUUAUGAAAUAAAGUGAAUAGGUGACUUGCCCACCAAAGAUGAGGCUAGAAGUUAUGAAAUAAAGUGAAUAGGUGACUUGCCCACCAAAGGUAUUCUUACAAUUUGUGCUUAUUGAGUGGAUUUUAUAUUCUUUAUUUAUAAUGCUCACUAUAAAUGAUGCACCUGUUUUAGAAAAGAAACUGAUUUGCAGCUCACUAUAAUUGAUGCACCUGUUUUAGAAAAAAAACUGAAUUGCAGGUGCUGCACCUAUAAUGUAUACUUCUACCAUGGGUUGCCUUUCUAAAUUGCGAAAUUAUUUGUUCAUUCACACAGAAAAGAGAAUGCUCCCCCAUAAACUUGACAUCUCCCACUGAUUUCUUAAAUUAUUUGUUCAUCCUCUGAUUUUUUUUAUUUGUUCUCAAAUAUGUCUUCAUGAGUUGUUUAAGCCUUACUUCUACCAUGGGUUACAUUUUGCGGAAGACAAAGGGAUUGAUUCUAAAUCCAGCCAAAGUUCAGCAUCACUGAUGAGGCGAAUUGGCUGAUAUCUACCAAAAAAAGUUAAUGUGAAGAAAAGGCAAUAAGACAGAUUAUUAUUGGUCAAUGAAUGAAGAUGCUUGCAGCCUCCAAGCUUCCGCAUGUGCUUUUCCUCAGUGCCAUUAUUAUUGACAUGAAAUUAGGUUUGCCCAUAGGUUGGAAUAGACCGCCACCGUUGUUGACUGUUUUGGUGUGUUCGGUAUUCUGAGAUUGAUUUGUAGGAAGUAGGCUUUGGCCUCCACUUUAAAGUUUGGAAAGAUUUGAGUUGUCAUUGUGGAUCUACAAUAAGUAUUAAAUAGUUAUAUUUUGUUUCUGACUGUGAAGGGCAGUUUAUUAUAUCUUUCUUUCAAUUUUUUAAAUUUUGGAGUUCGUUUGUAACUCUCAAACUUAUUUCUUCAGUUAAGAGCAUUCUUGAAAUAAGAUAAAAGAUAUUAAAGUUGUGCAAUUGAAAGCUGCAAAUUUGGGAUAAUUUCAGAACUCAAAACCCAAUAAAGUUACAAACACAUGCUAUAUGCGAAUUUUGCACUCAGUUUUCUGUAAUGUCAUGUUGAACAUCCAAGGCCAGCAUUGGUACUUGAUUAAUCAUCCACAGCCAAAUUUUUCCAUGGCAUUUACUUCAAAAUAGUCCUGAAAGCCUGCAGUCUUUUUUGUGCACCAUAUUUGACAGUUUAAUCAUCCACAGCCGCAAGGUGACAAUUUGAGUUGCUAUUACAGAAACAUGCACAACACAUUGAAAGAAUGAAAGAAAAGUGGUUUCGGAGGUCUCUAUUUCUUCUUCCAGGCGCUCUUCAGCAGCUCCUAACUUCUCCAACUCAUUCACUACAAGUAUAAAACUUCCAAUGGAGAAUCAGGGUAUAGUGCACAGAGGACUUUACCUUUCCAUUGAGCCAAAUUCCGAAUAUGCUGAGCUACCAGACAUAUGGGUUGCUACUUUUGGAACACAUAUUACUGAAACAAUAAGGUUGAUGGAUCCACUGCACAAUUCCUUCAAUGUUCGACUCACAAAGUUUAACAACAAUGUAUUUGCACUGACAAAUGGACUAUUAAGCCUCCAACAAUAUUAUGGUCUGCAAUAUGGUGGAUGGCUUAAACUUUUUUAUCUUGGAAGGACUGAAUUCCGAUUAAUUGAGGUCCAAGAUAGAGGUUUUAUGAAUGUGAGAUAUAGAACCCCUCCAUUGAGAUAUGAAUUUGGAUGGGGGAAUGAUGAAGAGGUGCCAUCUAGCUAUGAUAGUGGUCCUGAUGAACAUGAGGCUGACAACUUAAAUGGCCAGCUAAUCUAUCAUGAAUCAGAGCUCCCCAUCUCUGACACCUACCAAAACAAAAAGACAUUGCCUGUUGCAUUGGUUCAUGGUGCAAUUCUUCCUCAUACACCACCACAUUGUGUCCUGAGGGAUGAACAUAAAAGAAGAUUUUUUUUUGUGAUUUAACGUGGAAUAAGAAAAGGCCAGGAGAAUGCGUCUUGAAGGGUGGAUGGCUUCAAUUUGUUAAAGCAAACAACUUACAAUACGAAAGCAAGAUCUGGUGGGUGAUUAAGAAGAGAGACCCAACUGUGGUUCAUGUAGGUGUUUUGGAGAGAUGAAACAUCCUCAAUUAUAACUUAAGAAGUUCUUUUAGUUUAUUGACUUCCUGUUACAGUUUUCCUCCUUUGUUAUGUUUGUUUCCUUUUAAUUCUUCCUCUGGCUUGGGUUCUUUUACUGAGGGAACAUUUGGCCAUGAAGUGUUGCUCGAUUGGGAGAGCUUUGUUCCCAAGACCCUUUUGAUUAUAAUAAAUUUUCUGCUGCCUUCAUUA
This is an RNA transcript of Lotus japonicus, 4212 nucleotides long. RefSeq lists it as uncharacterized. Lineage: Eukaryota; Viridiplantae; Streptophyta; Magnoliopsida; Fabales; Fabaceae. The transcript is spliced from 17 exons. The record is from RefSeq and is a predicted model, not a curated record.